This 65-nucleotide small nucleolar RNA is filed under the name Carlito syrichta (Philippine tarsier). The record is from RNAcentral. Lineage: Eukaryota; Metazoa; Chordata; Mammalia; Primates; Tarsiidae.
UUGUAAUGAUGUUGAUCAAAUGUCUGACCUGAAAUGAGCAUGUGGUCAAAUGCAACACUGAAGAA